UUACGAUCAUAUCACAUUGAAACACUGCUUCUUGUAUGAUCACAGAAGCUAAGCAACAUUGAGCCUAGUCAGUACCUAGAUGGGUGACUAUAUGGGAAUACCGGGUACU
This is a non-coding RNA of Acanthosepion pharaonis, 109 nucleotides long. The record is from the annotation of a GenBank genome assembly. Lineage: Eukaryota; Metazoa; Mollusca; Cephalopoda; Sepiida; Sepiidae.